CCUACGGGCGGCAGCAGUGGGGAAUAUUGGACAAUGGGGGCAACCCUGAUCCAGCCAUGCCGCGUGUGUGAAGAAGGCCCUCGGGUUGUAAAGCACUUUCAGUGAGGAAGAACGCCUGGUGGUUAAUACCCAUCAGGAAAGACAUCACUCACAGAAGAAGCACCGGCUAACUCCGUGCCAGCAGCCGCGGUAAUACGGAGGGUGCGAGCGUUAAUCGGAAUUACUGGGCGUAAAGCGCGCGUAGGUGGCUUGAUAAGCCGGUUGUGAAAGCCCCGGGCUCAACCUGGGAACGGCAUCCGGAACUGUCAAGCUAGAGUGCGGGAGAGGAAGGUAGAAUUCCCGGUGUAGCGGUGAAAUGCGUAGAGAUCGGGAGGAAUACCAGUGGCGAAGGCGGCCUUCUGGACUGACACUGACACUGAGGUGCGAAAGCGUGGGUAGCAAACAGGAUUAGAUACCCCAGUAGUC
RNAcentral lists this ribosomal RNA (465 nucleotides) under Vreelandella stevensii. Its description in RNAcentral is "partial 16S ribosomal RNA". It matches the Rfam family "Bacterial small subunit ribosomal RNA", at positions 338 to 795 of the family's 1533-position model. Lineage: Bacteria; Pseudomonadati; Pseudomonadota; Gammaproteobacteria; Oceanospirillales; Halomonadaceae. The record is from RNAcentral.